Xenia sp. Carnegie-2017 is the source of this 1298-nucleotide long non-coding RNA. RefSeq lists it as uncharacterized. The transcript is spliced from 4 exons. The record is from RefSeq and is a predicted model, not a curated record. Lineage: Eukaryota; Metazoa; Cnidaria; Anthozoa; Malacalcyonacea; Xeniidae.
CUUCUAUAAAAAUGUUACGUCGCUGAUAUUGGGUGAAGAUAAGUGACGUUGCCAGCCCGCAAGUUUUAGUCAUGAAGAAUUUUGAAAAUAAUUCUUUCCAACCGAUAGCAGUUGUAAACAAGGUUCUAAUACAUAGUCGCCAUUGGCUAGUUCUUACCAUGAAGAUAUGCGAUUAUUACAACAGUCAACAAUACUAAACUUUACAUCAAGUAUACUGAUGAACUCCAAGCAUGGUCCUUUCAAGACGGUGAAACAAUUCUCAUUCUGUUUAAAAAAUAUUUUAAUUUUUAUGUGUUUGUAGUGCUAUUCCAUUUGGAUUUUGAAGGUAAAACGUCUUUGCUCAUUUAGUAAAAGUUCUCCUGGUCAAAAGUUCCUUAUAUUUACUUAUUCGGUAUUUUCUUUGAAGCUUUUGAACUUUUUGAUUUUCCCGCCUUUCCCGUCCACCAUUCAUCAACAAUGCAUAAUCUUUUCCUUUGAAUUUCUCUCAGGUUUUGCCGAGUGGUACUAGGUGUGUAAUAUUUCAUAACUGCACUCAAUUUAAUCUCAAAGCGUUUUUCAUAUCUCUCGUGGUGACGGUUCAGAAAGGUAAAUUUAAAUAUUUUGUACGACAUAUUACCAAUCCAUCAAAUGUUUGAUGACGUUCAACCAACAAAGUGUCUUACUUACAUGUGAGACAAAAGUCAGAAAACUGGCAGGGAAAUUCAACUGACAUGUUCUUAAAGUACUCAAAGUUAUAUUUUAUUUAUUUUGCUCCUCCGAGCUUAAAUUGAGUCAUUUUUAAAACAUUUUUUAUAGACUCGUAGUUUUGUGAUUUCGUAUACAAAAAAACUUGUUAGUUUUAUGCUAUUUUCUCAACAUGACAAAACACUCAGAAGUGCAAUACAUUUUUGUCAAAGAUUACCAAUGUCAUUCCACUAUAUAGUAAUUUCUACUUAAAACCCAUAACAAAAGCAUGUGUAAUCUAUUUUACUGAAUUAUAAAAAUUAUAAAGAAAAUCGUCAAGUAUUGAUUCAAUGUUACACAAAGUUACAUUUACUCAUGUUUAUCAUUAUCACGAAGAAAUUGGUUGGCUUUUUCAUGCAAAUCUUCAUAGGAACAUCCUUUUGGUAGAACUUGCAUCAUAAGCCAAGAUUUUGCUUUCAUACCAACCAACUCCCAUUCAUCUUUAACAGUGGAUAAUUGAAGGUCCAGGUUGCAUCCUCUCUCCAGAUACAAUGAACUCAGCAGCACCUUUGCCAGCUUGUGCAAUGCCUUUCACUAAAGUUGUUGAUGCACCAGAGCCGAUACCAAAAGAAAAA